UAAGGAAUAUUGGUCAAUGGAGGCAACUCUGAACCAGCCAUGCCGCGUGCAGGAAGAAGGCGCUACGCGUUGUAAACUGCUUUUGUACAAGAGAAAACUUCUGCUCGUGAGCGGAACUGAUAGUAUUGUAAGAAUAAGCAUCGGCUAACUUCGUGCCAGCAGCCGCGGUAAGACGAAGGAUGCAAGCGUUAUCCGGAUUCAUUGGGUUUAAAGGGUGCGUAGGCGGCCCUGUAAGUCAGUGGUGAAAGCCCUCCGCUUAACGGAGGAACUGCCAUUGAUACUGCAAGGCUUGAGUACAGAUGAUGUUGGCGGAAUAUGACAUGUAGCGGUGAAAUGCAUAGAUAUGUCAUAGAACACCGAUUGCGAAGGCAGCUGACAAAACUGUAACUGACGCUGAGGCACGAAAGUGUGGGGAUCAAACAG
This 423-nucleotide ribosomal RNA is filed under the name uncultured bacterium. Its description in RNAcentral is "bacterial SSU rRNA". It matches the Rfam family "Bacterial small subunit ribosomal RNA", at positions 355 to 775 of the family's 1533-position model. The record is from RNAcentral.